This 342-nucleotide unclassified non-coding RNA is filed under the name soil metagenome. Its description in RNAcentral is "partial contains 5.8S ribosomal RNA, internal transcribed spacer 2, and large subunit ribosomal RNA". The stretch from base 1 to 120 matches the Rfam family "5.8S ribosomal RNA", at positions 35 to 154 of the family's 154-position model. The record is from RNAcentral.
GAUGAAGAACGUAGCGAAAUGCGAUAAGUAGUGUGAAUUGCAGAAUUCAGUGAAUCAUCGAAUCUUUGAACGCACAUUGCGCCCUUUGGUAUUCCAAAGGGCAUGCCUGUUCGAGCGUCAUUUGUACCCUCAAGCUUUGCUUGGUGUUGGGCGUCUUGUCUCUAGCUUUGCUGGAGACUCGCCUUAAAGUAAUUGGCAGCCGGCCUACUGGUUUCGGAGCGCAGCACAAGUCGCACUCUCUAUCAGCAAAGGUCUAGCAUCCAUUAAGCCUUUUUUUCAACUUUUGACCUCGGAUCAGGUAGGGAUACCCGCUGAACUUAAGCAUAUCAAAUAAGCGGAGGA